This 550-nucleotide ribosomal RNA is filed under the name bacterium BaC2-79. RNAcentral describes it as "bacterial SSU rRNA". It matches the Rfam family "Bacterial small subunit ribosomal RNA", at positions 95 to 680 of the family's 1533-position model. The record is from RNAcentral.
GUGGCAGACGGGUGAGUAACGCGUGGGAAUCUACCGUACCCUACGGAAUAGCUCUGGGAAACUGGAAGUAAUACCGUAUACGCCCUAACGGGGAAAGAUUUAUCGGGGUAUGAUGAGCCCGCGUUGGAUUAGCUAGUUGGUGGGGUAAAGGCCUACCAAGGCGACGAUCCAUAGCUGGUCUGAGAGGAUGAUCAGCCACAUUGGGACUGAGACACGGCCCAAACUCCUACGGGAGGCAGCAGUGGGGAAUAUUGGACAAUGGGGGCAACCCUGAUCCAGCCAUGCCGCGUGAGUGAUGAAGGUCUUAGGAUUGUAAAGCUCUUUCAACGGUGAAGAUAAUGACGGUAACCGUAGAAGAAGCCCCGGCUAACUUCGUGCCAGCAGCCGCGGUAAUACGAAGGGGGCUAGCGUUGUUCGGAAUUACUGGGCGUAAAGCGCACGUAGGCGGGUAUUUAAGUCAGGGGUGAAAUCCCGCAGCUCAACUGCGGAACUGCCUUUGAUACUGGGUAUCUUGAGUAUGGAAGAGGUAAGUGGAAUUGCGAGUGUAGAG